CCUUUGUCUAAAGAUUAUUGUGAUACCGCUUGUAUGGAAUGUGAGGAAAAGUGGUGAUUGAUGGUGCGUGGUUUAUUCUGAGCUGUUGGUUCUUUUAAAAUUCAGAGCUCAAAUGGUCAACCUGCCACCAUAGAGUUAAAAUGUUGAGUCUCAAGUUUUCUGCUUGAGAUAAACUCAUUGUUUAUGAUAUCCAAAAUGAUCUGUGUUUGUUAUGAUUGUUGAUAAAUGAGAUCCUCUUUCCCUGUCCGGAACUCCCGGAGCCAGCCCAGGGGAGACACCGGAUGGGGCCGUAGCCGGGGAUGCACCCAGCGCACAGCAAGGGGGAAGGAGCGCCUGCUGCCGCCAUCUUAGCACCAUGAGAGGGGCCAGGGGCGGCACCGCCGGAACUAACUCCAGGCCCACGCCCAGUAAAUUAGGACUCGGGGUUUGGAAUUGUCUCUCCCGGCAGCGGACUCAAUUUGAGCCAGAAGUAACCUGUAGCUGGGGCGGGCAAUUUGCAGCAAUAUCAGACAGGGAGGCUUGAAUGUGCAAGAGCAGCUAAAGAAUCCUCUGAGACAGUCAAAAGGAAUGGGUGAAAAAGCUGCCCCAAGCUCACUUUUUGUAAAGAAGAAGAACCUUGAAAGGCAUAUUGCCCCAAAUUGUAAAGAUCUCCAGAUGGCAGGAAGCCUCUAGGGAAGCAAAUAGUGUUUUUUAAAGUCCAGGACUCAGAGAGUGAAGGAGGGGCCCAUAGCUCCCCUGCCUCCAAAUAUCCCCAUAGGAGCCCUGGACAAAAUUGACAGUUGGGUUUCGAUUGGCAUUAGCAUCGUGGACAAAAGCAGUCUGGUGGGGGCCCUUUCCCCUAACUGCCACCCUGAUCCCCGGCACCAAUCAUGACUGGUACUCUUUGAGCCAGGCAGGGGGCAGCAGGUAGGGCCCAGGUGGCAGUGAGGCAUCUGUAGACAAACAGUGGCCGAGAAACUCAUCACAGCGGGCCCAGGAGGUGGACCUGGUUGAACAGCAGAAGCAUGAAGGGUUGUUUCAGAAGUGGCAGAAGCUCACCUCUCCUGCUGGAUGAAUACCAGGUCCUGGUGAAGAAUACAAGAAACUCCCACUGUGCUUUGAAGUUCUGGCCUCAGCAACUUCAGUUCUGGCCUGCACAUCAUUCAGUCCAGGGAAAGAGGCUGAGCAGGUAGAAAAUGGUACCCUGGUGAUGGACACCGUGGGCAGACAGCUGCAGAGAUGGCUCAGCAGCUCCUCCUCCUACAGCAAGGACAUCAGCAGGCACCCCAUUGUCAACAGGACUCAAGACCACACUCCACAGAGCCCUGGACAUUUCACAAGAGGGAUAAUAGACCCUUCUUUGUAGCAGAGAAGUUUGGAAGAAGUUAAUUCCAGUCCUCAUAGAUGACUUUGAUGGAUUCAAGACUUCAAUGGGAGAAGUAACUGCAGAUUUGGUAGAAAUAGCAAGAGAAUAGAAUUAGAAUUGGAGCUUGAAGAUGUGACUGAAUUGCACAAUCUUAUGAUAAAACUAAGAGAAAUUGACACAGCCGCCCCAACCUUCAGCAACCACCACCC
Molecule: non-coding RNA, 1554 nt
Organism: Microcebus murinus (gray mouse lemur)
Lineage: Eukaryota; Metazoa; Chordata; Mammalia; Primates; Cheirogaleidae
Source: RefSeq, a predicted model, not a curated record